This 124-nucleotide small nucleolar RNA is filed under the name Ricinus communis (castor bean). RNAcentral describes it as "Small nucleolar RNA Z103". It matches the Rfam family "Small nucleolar RNA Z103". From Rfam's summary of the family: This family consists of several snoRNA Z103 sequences which are members of the C/D class of snoRNA which contain the C (UGAUGA) and D (CUGA) box motifs. This family seems to be found exclusively in plants. The record is from Rfam by way of RNAcentral. Lineage: Eukaryota; Viridiplantae; Streptophyta; Magnoliopsida; Malpighiales; Euphorbiaceae.
AUGGAAGUGAUGAUUAUUUCCCCAGAUGAUCGACGCUGAAACUGAUCCAUCGCGGAAGCUUAUGAGCGUUUUUAUUUCUCUUUGAAUUUAUUAAAAGAGAAUUCAAGCCAGGAAACUGAUCCAU